RNAcentral lists this ribosomal RNA (254 nucleotides) under uncultured bacterium. RNAcentral's name for it is "partial 16S ribosomal RNA". It matches the Rfam family "Bacterial small subunit ribosomal RNA", at positions 524 to 776 of the family's 1533-position model. The record is from RNAcentral.
UACGUAGGGUGCAAGCGUUAAUCGGAAUUACUGGGCGUAAAGCGCACGUAGGCGGACUCUUAAGUCGGUGGUGAAAUCCUGGAGCUCAACUCCAGAACUGCCUUCGAUACUGGGAGUCUCGAGUCCGGGGAGAGGUGAGUGGAACUGCGAGUGUAGAGGUGAAAUUCGUAGAUAUUCGCAAGAACACCAGUGGCGAAGGCGGCUCACUGGCCCGGUACUGACGCUGAGGUGCGAAAGCGUGGGGAGCAAACAGG